MicroRNA precursor from Bison bison bison, 73 nucleotides. NCBI's taxonomy places the organism in Eukaryota, Metazoa, Chordata, Mammalia, Artiodactyla, Bovidae. The record is from Ensembl.
GCCCUGGGGUUAGGGGGAGCGGUUGGAGGACUGGGGGCUCAGCCUUCCUACCUCUCUCCGUAGGAGCCUGGUG